UACGUAGGGCGCAAGCGUUGUCCGGAAUUAUUGGGCGUAAAGAGCUCGUAGGCGGCUUGUCACGUCGGGUGUGAAAGCCCGGGGCUUAACCCCGGGUCUGCAUUCGAUACGGGCUGGCUAGAGUGUGGUAGGGGAGAUCGGAAUUCCUGGUGUAGCGGUGAAAUGCGCAGAUAUCAGGAGGAACACCGGUGGCGAAGGCGGAUCUCUAGGCCAUUACUGACGCUGAGGAGCGAAAGCGUGGGGAGCGAACAGG
This 253-nucleotide ribosomal RNA is filed under the name uncultured bacterium. RNAcentral's name for it is "partial 16S ribosomal RNA". It matches the Rfam family "Bacterial small subunit ribosomal RNA", at positions 524 to 776 of the family's 1533-position model. The record is from RNAcentral.